RNAcentral lists this ribosomal RNA (805 nucleotides) under uncultured fungus. RNAcentral's name for it is "eukaryotic LSU rRNA". The stretch from base 261 to 414 matches the Rfam family "5.8S ribosomal RNA". Lineage: Eukaryota; Fungi. The record is from RNAcentral.
AGUAAAAGUCGUAACAAGGUUUCCGUAGGUGAACCUGCGGAAGGAUCAUUAAAGUAUCUCUGGCGGGGGAGUGAGCCUCGCUCCGGUCCUAACCGGCCGUUGCAGCGGGCGAGCGACCCGUCCAAACCUUCACAAACCCUCUGUGCACUUCAACGGUGGAAGGAGCCCGUGCGAGAGCUCGGGCUUCUGAAGCCGCUACCCAACAAACCCCAAUCUUUAAAGAAUGUAUUGCGGCCAUCGUGUCGCCUAACAAACGAAACAACUUUCAACAACGGAUCUCUUGGCUCUCGCAUCGAUGAAGAACGCAGCGAAAUGCGAUAAGUAAUGUGAAUUGCAGAAUUCAGUGAAUCAUCGAAUCUUUGAACGCACCUUGCGCUCCUUGGUAUUCCGAGGAGCAUGCCUGUUUGAGUGUCUUGAAGUCAUCAACCCCGACCGUUUUUGCAACGGGCGUGGGCUUGGAGCUGGGGGACUUUUGCCGCCGCAAGGCCGGCUCCCCUCAAAUGCGUCGGUUGGGCCUGCUGGUCAAACUCGACUGGGCGUUGUACCAUCCUCGCUCCAUCGAGACAGAUCGGCGACCGUGCCCCGCUUGGACCGCCUCUUCUUCAGGGUGGUGGUCAAUAAGCAUUUUUGAAAUCUGACCUCAAAUCAGGUAGGACUACCCGCUGAACUUAAGCAUAUCAAUAAGCGGAGGAAAAGAAACUAACAAGGAUUCCCCUAGUAACUGCGAGUGAAGCGGGAAAAGCUCAAAUUUCAAAUCUGACGGUUACGCCGUCCGAGUUGUAUUCUGGAGAAGCGUCUUCCGCGC